RNAcentral lists this ribosomal RNA (878 nucleotides) under Epicoccum nigrum. RNAcentral describes it as "partial large subunit ribosomal RNA". It matches the Rfam family "Eukaryotic large subunit ribosomal RNA", at positions 71 to 967 of the family's 3401-position model. Lineage: Eukaryota; Fungi; Ascomycota; Dothideomycetes; Pleosporales; Didymellaceae. The record is from RNAcentral.
GGGAUUGCCCUAGUAACGGCGAGUGAAGCGGCAACAGCUCAAAUUUGAAAUCUGGCGUCUUUGGCGUCCGAGUUGUAAUUUGCAGAGGGCGCUUUGGCAUUGGCAGCGGUCCAAGUUCCUUGGAACAGGACGUCACAGAGGGUGAGAAUCCCGUACGUGGUCGCUAGCCUUUACCGUGUAAAGCCCCUUCCACGAGUCGAGUUGUUUGGGAAUGCAGCUCUAAAUGGGAGGUAAAUUUCUUCUAAAGCUAAAUACUGGCCAGAGACCGAUAGCGCACAAGUAGAGUGAUCGAAAGAUGAAAAGCACUUUGGAAAGAGAGUUAAAAAGCACGUGAAAUUGUUGAAAGGGAAGCGCUUGCAGCCAGACUUGCCUGUAGUUGCUCAUCCGGGUUUCUACCCGGUGCACUCUUCUACGGGCAGGCCAGCAUCAGUUUGGGCGGUUGGAUAAAGGUCUCUGUCAUGUACCUCCCUUCGGGGAGAUCUUAUAGGGGAGACGACAUGCAACCAGCCUGGACUGAGGUCCGCGCAUCUGCUAGGAUGCUGGCGUAAUGGCUGUAAGCGGCCCGUCUUGAAACACGGACCAAGGAGUCUAACAUCUAUGCGAGUGUUUGGGUGUCAAGCCCGAGCGCGUAAUGAAAGUGAACGGAGGUGGGAACCUUUCGGGGUGCACCAUCGACCGAUCCUGAUGUCUUCGGAUGGAUUUGAGUAAGAGCAUAGCUGUUGGGACCCGAAAGAUGGUGAACUAUGCUUGAAUAGGGUGAAGCCAGAGGAAACUCUGGUGGAGGCUCGCAGCGGUUCUGACGUGCAAAUCGAUCGUCAAAUUUGGGCAUAGGGGCGAAAGACUAAUCGAACUAUCUAGUAGCUGGUUCCUGCCGAGCU